Molecule: transfer RNA, 84 nt
Filed under: Felis catus (domestic cat)
Lineage: Eukaryota; Metazoa; Chordata; Mammalia; Carnivora; Felidae
Also listed under: 2 other names
Rfam family: tRNA
About the family: Transfer RNA (tRNA) molecules are approximately 80 nucleotides in length. Their secondary structure includes four short double-helical elements and three loops (D, anti-codon, and T loops).
Source: Rfam by way of RNAcentral
GCCUGGGUGGCUCAGUGGUUAAGCGUCUGACUUCGGCUCAGGUCAUGAUCUCAUGGUUCGUGAGUUCGAGCCCCACGUCGGGCU